GGGGAUUUAGUUCAGUGGUAGAGCGCUUGCCUAGCAAGCGCAAGGCCCUGGGUUCGGUCCCCAACCCCCG
Molecule: non-coding RNA, 70 nt
Organism: Rattus norvegicus (Norway rat)
Lineage: Eukaryota; Metazoa; Chordata; Mammalia; Rodentia; Muridae
Source: Rfam